Long non-coding RNA from Ostrea edulis (European flat oyster), 623 nucleotides. RefSeq lists it as uncharacterized. The record is from RefSeq and is a predicted model, not a curated record. The transcript has 2 exons. Lineage: Eukaryota; Metazoa; Mollusca; Bivalvia; Ostreida; Ostreidae.
GAAAAACAAAUAUCUCUCAGCUCCCCAAAUUGGAAGUGCACCAAAUGAAACCUCCUCCACUUAAUGUACUGCAUGGUAUGGAGGGGGAAGCAUGGGCAGGAACAUAGACUUAAAAUCCACCUAUAACGUCAUUCUUUUGUUCGAACACUCCCACUGUCAUGAUCGUGUGCAGGAUUGGACAAAACAAGAUGGCAGACGGCAUUUCCAAACAAAGGUAUCAAGCCCUAGAACUUCAUUCCAUGAGAUGGGUACACUUCGAAUGUGCAAAUUUGUGGUGAGGAAUUCAAGACCAAUUCUGAAUUGCGUAGGCAUGUAUAAAGGAAACAUCAGUCAGAAAAAUUGUCUUCGUUUGUGACCAGUGCAACACACGCUUUUGCCCAUUAUAAAAGAAACUCGAAGUAAAAAAUACAUUGUUUUCUGAAUACACGAGGUGCAUACAUACAUGUAUACCAUGGCAGCCGUUUUAUAUAUUCGUUUAUGUACAUUGUGAAACGAUUAUUUUUACGGUAUUAUGCUUUGUUUUACAGAAAUACUACUAAUCUUUUACAUUGCAUUUUACACAUGUUGAUUUGUCAUUUCAUUGAACCUAAGUUUUACGUGUUAUUAAAUAUAUUUCAAUGUUA